GUCCACGCCCUAAACGAUGUCGACUGGUUGUUGGGGUUUGACACUCUCAGUAACGAAGCUAACGCGUGAAGUCGACCGCCUGGGGAGUACGGCCGCAAGGUUAAAACUCAAAGGAAUUGACGGGGACCCGCACAAGCGGUGGAUUAUGUGGAUUAAUUCGAUGCAACACGAAAAACCUUACCUACCCUUGACAUGUCCUGGAGCCUGGAGAGAUCCGGGUGUGCCCGAAAGGGAACGGGAACACAGGUGCUGCAUGGCUGUAGU
This 264-nucleotide ribosomal RNA is filed under the name uncultured bacterium. RNAcentral's name for it is "partial 16S ribosomal RNA". It matches the Rfam family "Bacterial small subunit ribosomal RNA", at positions 793 to 1055 of the family's 1533-position model. The record is from RNAcentral.